This 1312-nucleotide unclassified non-coding RNA is filed under the name Zea mays. Its description in RNAcentral is "misc RNA Zm00001eb212570". The record is from RNAcentral. Lineage: Eukaryota; Viridiplantae; Streptophyta; Magnoliopsida; Poales; Poaceae.
AGCCAGCUGUGAACGUCCCAGAACACCUCCACAGGCAAGCCGUCGACGAGAAUCGUCUGGUUUCCCCUGAACUUCCACGCCAGGCGCUUCACCUGCAUCACGGGCUUCUUGUCAACUCUUAUUUCAAGACACGGAUCCUUCAGGUCGACGGUGUCGCAGUCUAUGACAAUGUCAUGGAACUGGCCAUUGUCGCAGAACUGCGCCUUGGCGGAGUAGGUCUUCUUGCCGUAUAUGUGCUCCCUCCUCGCCACAAACGCGGCGUUCAGCAUCGACCGGUUGGCUCCAGUCUUCCUGUAGGCAUCCUUCUUCAUGUCGCCGAGCAAGAGCACGAGCUCAAGGUCGAACACCACUGCGACAUAGAACCCCUCCACCGGCUCUGGCCCAGCGCCGAACUUGGCGCCCGACAGGUCCCAGAAGAUGUCGAUCUUGCCGUCCUCGACGUCGAGGCUCUUGGACCCCUUCUUCUUGGAGAAGAGCCACGGCUUGAUGUCCGCCUUGCAGAGGCAGUGGCCGGACAGGUCGUCGACGCCGACGCUGAGGCCCUGCCCCAUGAGGCUCCUGCUCCACGUGAGCGAGAUCACGCAGGGCCGGCCCGAGAACUGCGUCUGGUAGAGGCAGGUCACCAGGUUCUGCGCCGCGCCCUUGCCGGCGCUGGACGACGACGACGACGCGUCCGCGAUCUGGACGCCGCUCUCGCCGAAGCAGGAAGGGAAGUCCCUCAUGGCUGGCUGGCCCGGUCGGGGUCCUUCGUCGAACACCUGGCGUGCAGCCGCCCGCCCGCCCGCCGCUUGGAUCAGCACCUCUCCUCCGCACUCCUCACCGCAAGCAAUCCACACCGCCCGGCGAGCCCGCCUCGCAAUGCCGGCGAAGAGAUGAACAGCCACGCACAGAUCGGCCACGCAGGUACGCAGGCCACCGCCGGAGGUUGCUCGAUCCAGCAACGCCGCCGCCGCCGCCGCCGGACGCGAGAUCCCACCUCUUACUGCGAAAGGCAGCACCGACAACCGCCCGAAAAUCGAGGGGCAGAGGAGGGAUUGGCGUCGGAGCAAGAUUCCUUCACGGCCCCGCCCCGCCCCUUUCCACCGCGUAGGCCACCUUCUUGGCCGCGAAACCGCGGCGACGGAGCAAUCUUCCCUCCGCCGGGACUCCGUCCGUCGACGGAUCAGCCUUCCACCUUUAUACCACAGCAGCGGCAGCGGCGAAACAGAAGGUUUCCCCCAGGCGGCAGGCUAAGGCUAAGGCUUCCGCUUCAAGGCAGGAGAAGCAUGCAAUUACCGUAGAUGUAUGCUUGCACACCCAUGGCCAAAGGGGA